CGGAGGGUCAUGGCUUCCUAGCCAUGGUUGACCAUGGUCUGAAACCACGAAAAGCGAAACCAUGGAGACUGUCACCAGUAAAACAUAAGCUUCUGGCUUUUACUUUAAAGGAAAGAUGCCAGCUUCUCAGCUCAUCCUUUAAUUGCCUUCUACGUAAUAGGAGAGGUUGUUAGUAUAGAGAACAAGCCAGAACAGGGAUAGGGAAGCCAACUGCUCUCGAUUCCGACCAUGGAAAGUUCACUGGGAGGCGUGGUUUGAAUCCAACCAGAGGAUGCAGGAGACUGGAGAAGAUUUCCCUUUCGCUUCAGGCCCACAGCAAAGUACAUUGCCCUCUUUCCUUUGCGAAGCAACCACCGAGCACUUCUCAGAGAAAUGCCGCAAAGAUGCCUCAGCCUCGAACAAGAGUCCUUCGCCACGGCCUGUUCUCCCUCAGCCCCGAGAUACCAGAGUAAAGAAGGGAACACCGAGAAGUCUGUCCUGGGAUGCAGGACACAUAGGCCUUGAGCCUGAGAGUUGCUGAGGCCUCAGCACAGAGUGCCAGAGUAUUCCGUAGCUGCACAUCUUUCACCAGACAGCCAGGUGGCAUUCAGGCGAAUGCAAGUGUGGCGUGACAUAAGGACUCAGGAUUGGGACGCCGAUGUCCGGGGCCCUGGAACUGUGCAGCGGCAUUGUGGUCCCCAUGCCCUCAGCCUCGGAACCACAGUGCACACAGACCAGCCUUCCGAAUGCCUGAAUCUCUACACUGCGUGGCUUUGCCGGAGGGAGUUCUCUGAAUAUCUCCCCGUGACAGACCGAAGCACCUGAGAAUGAAUAUCUCCCCCCCCCCCCACCUCUGUGGUGGUCUUCAACCCAAAACCAUCAGGAACUGGGGUCUGCAGCUCCCUUCUCCCUCAGGUGCAGGAACUCCAAGUGCCGGCCCAGAGAGGGACCGAGGCCAGCGUGUCCACACCCGAGCCAGGAAAGGGCGGAGCCACCAGCCAUAGAGCCUGAAGCAGGAAGCAGAGCCCCUGGGGACAGAAGGCUGCCACACCACUGCCCUGAUCCCAGGCUUCCAGCACAGGCUCCACAAAUAUGAAAGCACUCAAACGGAAUUCCCUGAGAGCACCAGGAAUGUGGCUUCCAAUGAAGAUGGUCGUCUCUUGCCGGGGAAUAGGACACGAAGCUUCUUGACAUCUGCAGAUUUCCAAUGUCCACUUUGAGGGCCCACCCAUCAGAGCACUGUGGCAGCAGGAGUGUGGCCGAGAUUAGAGGUUGAAGGCAGCUUUGUCGAAGUGAGCUACUGGCCUCGUCAGACCUGCUGAGGGGGUGAAGUGCGCAGGGGCGAAUAAACCCUGCCAUCAAAAAUGUCACCUUCAUCCGUGAGACAACAAGGCAGUCAUGAAUCGUGGUCACUGUCUGCCAUCCCCAACUUCCUAGGCACCGAGUGGCACAGCCUUUUCCAGUAUCGGAGAAACUUCCAAUCCUG
Molecule: long non-coding RNA, 1465 nt
Organism: Herpailurus yagouaroundi (jaguarundi)
Lineage: Eukaryota; Metazoa; Chordata; Mammalia; Carnivora; Felidae
Exons: 6
Source: RefSeq, a predicted model, not a curated record